GACGAACGCUGGCGGCGUGCUUAACACAUGCAAGUCGAACGGAAAGGCCCUGCUUUUGUGGGGUGCUCGAGUGGCGAACGGGUGUGUAACACGUGAGUAACCUGCCCUUGACUUUGGGAUAACUUCAGGAAACUGGGGCUACUACCGGCUAGGAGCUCCUGCUGCAUGGUGGGGGUUGGACCGCUUCGGCGGUUGGGGAUGGACUCGCGGUUUAUCAGCUUGUUGGUGGGGUAGUGGCUUACCAAGGCAUUGGCGGGUAGCCGGCCUGAGAGGGUGACCGGCCACAUUGGGACUGAGGUACGGACCAGACUCCUACGGGAGGCAGCAGUGGGGAGUAUUGCACAAUGGGCGGAAGCCUGAUGCAGCAACGCCGCGUGCGGGAUGACGGCCUUCGGGGUGUAAACCGCUUUCGCCUGUGACGAAGCGUGAGUGACGGUAAUGGGUAAAGAAGCACCGGCUAACUACGUG
RNAcentral lists this ribosomal RNA (468 nucleotides) under uncultured bacterium. Its description in RNAcentral is "partial 16S ribosomal RNA". It matches the Rfam family "Bacterial small subunit ribosomal RNA", at positions 28 to 507 of the family's 1533-position model. The record is from RNAcentral.